This 201-nucleotide ribosomal RNA is filed under the name uncultured bacterium. RNAcentral describes it as "partial 16S ribosomal RNA". It matches the Rfam family "Bacterial small subunit ribosomal RNA", at positions 524 to 723 of the family's 1533-position model. The record is from RNAcentral.
UACGUAGGUGGCAAGCGUUGUCCGGAAUUAUUGGGCGUAAAGCGCGCGCAGGCGGCCUCUUAAGUCUGAUGUGAAAGCCCCCCGGCUCAACCGGGGGAGGGCCUUGGAAACUGGGAGGCUUGAGUAUAGGAGAGAAGAGUGGAAUUCCACGUGUAGCGGUGAAAUGCGUAGAGAUGUGGAGGAACACCAGUGGCGAAGGCG